RNAcentral lists this ribosomal RNA (537 nucleotides) under Amanita torrendii. Its description in RNAcentral is "eukaryotic LSU rRNA". The stretch from base 197 to 350 matches the Rfam family "5.8S ribosomal RNA". Lineage: Eukaryota; Fungi; Basidiomycota; Agaricomycetes; Agaricales; Amanitaceae. The record is from RNAcentral.
GUUUCCGUAGGUGAACCUGCGGAAGGAUCAUUAUUGGAAUCGCAAGAGGCUGUAGCUCUGGCCCCCUUGGGUAUAUGUGCACGUCUCUUGUUCCUUUAUCACCCACCUGUGCACUGAUUGUAGACCCCUUGUGUCUAUGAUAUACAUUAUACAGUUUUUGAAUGUAUUAUGUUGGCUUUAUAAACAAUAUAUAUAUAACUUUCAACAAUGGAUCUCUUGGCUCUCGCAUCGAUGAAGAACGCAGCGAAAUGCGAUAAGUAAUGUGAAUUGCAGAAUUCAGUGAAUCAUCGAAUCUUUGAACGCAUCUUGCGCUCCUUGGCAUUCCGAGGAGCAUGCCUGUUUGAGUGUCAUUAAUCUCUCGAAACAUUUCACUUGGUGUGUAGUGUUUUGGAUUUUGGGAGUCAUUGCUGGCUGGGUCGGAGUCAGCUCUCCUUAAAAAUAUUAGCUUUUGGGGAAAAGCCUUUUCCCACUCAUUGGUGUGAUAAUUAUCUAUGCCAGGGAAGKGGGAAGGAAACCUCCCGUUGACCAAAUGACCUC